AUACAGGGUGACAGCCCCGUACACAAAAAUGCACAUACUGUGAGCUCGAUGAGUAGGGCGGGACACGUGGUAUCCUGUCUGAAUAUGGGGGGACCAUCCUCCAAGGCUAAAUACUCCUGACUGACCGAUAGUGAACCAGUACCGUGAGGGAAAGGCGAAAAGAACCCCGGCGAGGGGAGUGAAAAAGAACCUGAAACCGUGUACGUACAAGCAGUGGGAGCCUCUUAAUGGGGUGACUGCGUACCUUUUGUAUAAUGGGUCAGCGACUUAUAUUCUGUAGCAAGGUUAACCGAAUAGGGGAGCCGAAGGGAAACCGAGUCUUAACUGGGCGUUAAGUUGCAGGGUAUAGACCCGAAACCCGGUGAUCUAGCCAUGGGCAGGUUGAAGGUUGGGUAACACUAACUGGAGGACCGAACCGACUAAUGUUGAAAAAUUAGCGGAUGACUUGUGGCUGGGGGUGAAAGGCCAAUCAAACCGGGAGAUAGCUGGUUCUCCCCGAAAGCUAUUUAGGUAGCGCCUCGUGAAUUCAUCUCCGGGGGUAGAGCACUGUUUCGGCAAGGGGGUCAUCCCGACUUACCAACCCGAUGCAAACUGCGAAUACCGGAGAAUGUUAUCACGGGAGACACACGGCGGGUGCUAACGUCCGUCGUGAAGAGGGAAACAACCCAGACCGCCAGCUAAGGUCCCAAAGUCAUGGUUAAGUGGGAAACGAUGUGGGAAGGCCCAGACAGCCAGGAUGUUGGCUUAGAAGCAGCCAUCAUUUAAAGAAAGCGUAAUAGCUCACUGGUCGAGUCGGCCUGCGCGGAAGAUGUAACGGGGCUAAACCAUG
RNAcentral lists this ribosomal RNA (829 nucleotides) under Escherichia coli. Its description in RNAcentral is "partial 23S ribosomal RNA". It matches the Rfam family "Bacterial large subunit ribosomal RNA", at positions 357 to 1191 of the family's 2925-position model. The record is from RNAcentral. Lineage: Bacteria; Pseudomonadati; Pseudomonadota; Gammaproteobacteria; Enterobacterales; Enterobacteriaceae.